Molecule: small nuclear RNA, 86 nt
Organism: Prosopis cineraria
Lineage: Eukaryota; Viridiplantae; Streptophyta; Magnoliopsida; Fabales; Fabaceae
Source: RefSeq, a predicted model, not a curated record
AAGUAGAUUAAAGGAGAGAUGGUUGGCAUCUCCUCUGACUGGGUCGGGAAGAGCUUUCGGGUUUACCACAUAACUCUAUAGUCUAU